Molecule: ribosomal RNA, 472 nt
Filed under: uncultured bacterium
Lineage: Bacteria
Description: partial 16S ribosomal RNA
Rfam family: Bacterial small subunit ribosomal RNA (bases 20-302)
Source: RNAcentral
AACGAACGCUGGCGGCAUGCCUAACACAUGCAAGUCGAACGAGACCUUCGGGUCUAGUGGCGCACGGGUGCGUAACGCGUGGGAACCUGCCCUUAGGUUCGGAAUAACUCCCCGAAAGGGGUGCUAAUACCGGAUAAUGUCUUCGGACCAAAGAUUUAUCGCCUUUGGAUGGGCCCGCGUUGGAUUAGCUAGUUGGUAGGGUAAAAGCCUACCAAGGCGACGAUCCAUAGCUGGUCUGAGAGGAUGAUCAGCCACACUGGGACUGAGACACGGCCCAGACAGGGGGGGGGGGGAGGAGUGAGAAAUAGGAAAGAAGGGGCGAGGGCGUAGACAAGAAGGGGCGGAGGAGUGAGGAGGACGGGGGGGUUGUAAAGCUCGUGGACCGGUGAAGAAAAGGAGAGGGCGGGGGGAACAAGCCCGGGAGACCGCGGUGCCGGGAGGGGAGGUAAUGGCGGAAGAGCACACGCCUAAC